This 497-nucleotide ribosomal RNA is filed under the name uncultured bacterium. Its description in RNAcentral is "partial 16S ribosomal RNA". It matches the Rfam family "Bacterial small subunit ribosomal RNA", at positions 28 to 507 of the family's 1533-position model. The record is from RNAcentral.
GACGAACGCUGGCGGCGUGCCUAAUACAUGCAAGUUGAGCGCUGAAGGUUGGUACUUGUACCAACUGGAUGAGCAGCGCACGGGUGAGUAACGCGUGGGGAAUCUGCCUUUGAGCGGGGGACAACAUUUGGAAACGAAUGCUAAUACCGCAUAAAAACUUUAAACACAAGUUUUAAGUUUGAAAGAUGCAAUUGCAUCACUCAAAGAUGAUCCCGCGUUGUAUUAGCUAGUUGGUGAGGUAAAGGCUCACCAAGGCGAUGAUACAUAGCCGACCUGAGAGGGUGAUCGGCCACAAUGGGACUGAGACACGGCCCAAACUCCUACGGGAGGCAGCAGUAGGGAAUCUUCGGCAAUAGACGAAAGUCUGACCGAGCAACGCCGCGUGAGUGAAGAAGGUUUUCGGAUCGUAAAACUCGGUUGGUAGAGAAGAACGUUGGUGAGAGUGGAAAGCUCAUCAAGUGACGGUAACUACCCAGAAAGGGACGGCUAACUACGUG